Molecule: long non-coding RNA, 451 nt
Filed under: Homo sapiens (human)
Lineage: Eukaryota; Metazoa; Chordata; Mammalia; Primates; Hominidae
Description: HSALNT0244441
Source: RNAcentral
CUUUUCACUUGGCUGUCUCAUCUCAUUCUCUCUUGUCUGCCGCCAUAUAAGAUGUGCCUUUCACCUUCCGCCAUGAUCGUGAGGCCUCCCCAGCUGCAUGGAACUAUGGACAGAAGGUCCAGAGAAGUAAAGUGACUGCUCCCAGCCCACAGCUGCCCCAGGUCUCCUGAUAUCCAGUUCUGCAUCCUCUCUACUCAACCAGGCUGUCUUAUCAAGCCCAGCAAUAUUUCUUCUGUGCACAGCACAUAUACAAUUCUGGGGUCUUCUUAAGAGCCAGAGGUUUGCUGAUUUUGUUUCUAUAGUCACUUCCUGAGUAUUUAUUUCUACCACUUCAAUGAUCUCUCAGGUGGUAUCAAUCUACUUAAGAGAAAAAUGUUUGGCUCUGGCUGUGCACACAACUAGGAGCUGAGAAAGGCAUUUUCCUGAAAGAAAUGUACCAACAGUAGUACAA